Molecule: transfer RNA, 69 nt
Filed under: Ictidomys tridecemlineatus (thirteen-lined ground squirrel)
Lineage: Eukaryota; Metazoa; Chordata; Mammalia; Rodentia; Sciuridae
Also listed under: 1 other name
Description: Spermophilus tridecemlineatus (thirteen-lined ground squirrel) tRNA
Rfam family: tRNA
About the family: Transfer RNA (tRNA) molecules are approximately 80 nucleotides in length. Their secondary structure includes four short double-helical elements and three loops (D, anti-codon, and T loops).
Source: Rfam by way of RNAcentral
GAGGGUAGCUUAGUGGUAGAGCAUUUGCUUAGCAUGCGUGUGGCCCUGGGUUCAAUUCCUAGCACCUUA